This is an RNA transcript of Diospyros lotus (date-plum), 1810 nucleotides long. It is a transcript of the gene named cell division cycle 20.1, cofactor of APC complex-like, with no coding region annotated. NCBI's taxonomy places the organism in Eukaryota, Viridiplantae, Streptophyta, Magnoliopsida, Ericales, Ebenaceae. The transcript is spliced from 6 exons. The record is from RefSeq and is a predicted model, not a curated record.
UAACUCUCUCUUCUCUCCCUCUCUCUCUCUCUCUCUCUCUCUCUGUGACGCAGCUCGCCCCUGCAGCGAUCUUCGUCAAAGCAUCCCACGAAACAUCGUGUUUCCUCUCUUUAAUUUCACUUCAUUUUUAGUUCUUGUUUGUUAUCUUCGAUCUAACGCUUCGCUUCCAGAUCUUGCGUGUUUUUUGUUUUUCUCCUGUGGCUAUUGCAGGUCUUCUCCAUCCAUAUUAUGGAGGCCGGGUCAGCCAACUCUUCUUCAGCAGGAAAAACAAGAUCGCGUUAUCCACUUCAAGAACAGCUUCUUCAGAGGAGAAGCUCUAGGGAAAAUUUGGAUAGAUUCAUACCGAACCGAUCUGCGAUGGAUUUCGAUUACGCGCAUUAUAUGCUGACUGAAGGGCGGAAAGGUAAGGAGAAUCCAGCUGUGAGCUCUCCUUCCAGGGAGGCGUACAGGAAGCAACUUGCAGAAACCUUCAACAUGAACCGAACCCGAAUCCUGGCUUUUAAGAACAAGCCGCCCACCCCUUCGGAAGCCAUUCCAAACGAGUUCUCUACCAUUCACCAAUCCAAACCCACAAAGUCCCGUAGAUACAUUCCUCAGACUUCUGAGAGGACAUUAGAUGCUCCGGAUCUGGUGGAUGAUUACUACUUGAAUUUAUUGGACUGGGGUAGUAGCAAUGUUCUUGCUAUUGCGCUUGGAAGCACUGUAUAUCUAUGGGAUGCCACUGAUGGCGCCACCUCGGAACUUGUCACCAUUGACGAUGAAAAUGGUCCGGUGACCAGUGUCAAAUGGGCUCCCGAUGGAAGACAUAUAGCCAUUGGCUUGAACAACUCUGAUGUCCAGCUCUGGGAUUCCACAUCUAACCGACAGCUAAGAACCUUGAGAGGUGGCCACCAAUCCAGAGUCGGGUCCUUGGACUGGAACAGUCACAUUCUGACAACCGGAGGAAUGGAUGGUCAGAUCAUCAACAACGAUGUAAGAAUCCGAGCUCAUAUAGUCGAAACCUACAGAGGACACCAGCAAGAAGUCUGUGGGCUAAAAUGGUCAGCCUCAGGCCAACAGUUAGCCAGUGGAGGAAAUGACAAUAUCCUGCACAUAUGGGACAGAUCCGUGGCUUCUUCCAAUUCGGCGACCCAAUGGCUUCACAGGCUUGAAGACCACAGAGCUGCUGUUAAAGCCCUUGCUUGGUGCCCUUUCCAGGGUAACUUGUUGGCCUCUGGUGGAGGUGGAGGUGACAGGUGCAUUAAGUUCUGGAACACCCACACAGGGGCAUGCUUGAACUCCGUUGACACAGGCUCACAGGUCUGUGCUCUGCUAUGGAAUAAGAAUGAGCGUGAGCUGCUUAGCUCCCAUGGGUUUACUCAGAAUCAGCUCACUCUUUGGAAGUACCCAUCUAUGGUGAAAGUAGCAGAGCUCACUGGCCAUACAUCCAGAGUCCUUUUCAUGGCUCAGAGCCCGGAUGGAUGCGCUGUAGCGUCUGCUGCUGGAGACGAAACUCUGAGAUUUUGGAAUGUCUUUGGGGCUCCUGAAGUGGCAAAACCUGCACCAAAGGCAAAUCCCGAGCCGUUUGCUCACUUGAACCGCAUUCGUUGAGUCGCAUCGGUCGGCGCAUUUGGGUUCUCGGGUUCAAAGAACAUGGGUGGGUGAUGUCAAACUUAGCCAAGUUUUAAGGUGAUGGGAAAUGCAGCCUCACUGUAGUAAUGCCACUUUUGAGUUCGAAAUUGAAGAGGGGCCAUGACACAAGGACCCAUCUAUUGUUGUACAGUGUUCAUGUUAAAGGAAAUGCCAUAAUUCUUGCCUUUUUUUCCUGUGG